UUCAGAUUCAAAUCCAGACCAAGUGCAAAGGCAAAGCUGCAGGUCCUGGAAUCACACCAGGCUUCCCUCUGUGAAAUCCUAUGAUGGCAGUGUCAGCGGGUUAAGGAGGCCGUGUGGGAUUCAGGAAGAGCCCCGGCACGGGAGACCUCCUUAAUGCAACUUGAGAGCAUCCUUUCACCAAUGAACAGUUGAAACUGAAAUUUACUGUUUUAAAACAACGUGUAUGUAGUCACUGAUUAUGAUGCCAAGCACUCCGAAGUGCCUUGCAAAUAGUAGCCAUUGCUAUGUGUUCACGAAAACGCUUCCAAAGCUUGCACCCUGCAGUUAUAUGCUUUAUAAAUUGCUAGUGUAAUUCCAAGAGUAUCGCACCCUGUGGCUGACAAUGAGGCCCCAUCACUGACGAAGGACACUGCGCGGGGAGGGGGGUUGGGUAGGAAGCGUGGAAAGGACUCAAAGGCCGUGGGCACCGUGCUACCGUUUUUCCUGUUUUCCUACAAAGUUAGAGAGGAGGCUGGCGGGGUUAAUUUAUGACUACUUACCUCUCUCAUGUCACAGGUUACUGCAUCUCUAUAGAUUGUGGCUUCUGCUUGGUUUUGGGCGCCAAGAGGGAGCCUGCGAGGUGAGCGCGGUGGGACCCGGUGCUAGUUUCUGCCAUCUCGGGGUGGGGGGAGUAGCUCCGGAAGUAGCCGCGGUGACAGGCCCGCCGGCCAGGUGCUCGUCCUACCGCCAUGGGCACAGGCAGAUUCAGGCUUCCGGCCCUUCCGGAUAAGGGGCGAGGAUACAUUAUUUGUUGAAACUAAGGGAACAGCAAUAAAAGUUGCAAUGACAAAGAAAUGAAGAUUUAUGAUAAUUUAAAAAAAACCAACCUUGAAGUGCCUCCCCAACCUUCUCAUUUUGGGGGAGGCAAACUGGCCGCGAGCGCGGGGUCCGCUCGCCGGGGCCCGCGGUCGGGUAGACAGUCCGGCGGCCGCGCCAGCUGGGCCCGCGCGGGGGGCUGCGCGGACCCGAGGACGCAGGCGGGCUCCCACUGCCCGAGGGCUGGCCGCACGCGGGCGGGGCAACCACCAGAGCGUCGGCAGGCGCCGCCCACCCGCGGGGGAAUCCCAGGUUGGGGCGCGGGACGCGCGAAGACGCCGCGCCCCGCCCCCCGCCCCGCCCCCGCCGCCGCCCGCUCCCGGAGCCGCCGCCGCGCCGCGCUGCCAUUGGUGCCAGGCGGUGACGCGGGCGAGCGGGCCGCACGGCGGGGCGCGGGGGGCGGGCGCGGGGAGCGGGGCGCGGCUGAUGAAACCGGCUCCCGAUCCCUCCCGCUCUCAACGCUCCAUUCACUCCGCGGGGGCAGGUGUGAGCGGCAGGUCAGCUGCCGGCGGGGCGCGCGGCCACCCGGCGUCCGUUACCCGAGUCCCCCGCUCCUGCUCCCCGCGCGCCGCGCCUCCGCCCGAGCGUCCGUCAGUCCCGCCGAGCCUCGGUCGAUCGUCCGUCAGUCCAGACGCGGUCUUGCCUGCAUCCCGCCGCCCGCCGGCCCGGAAGAAAAGCUUGAAAGACGAGAUUGCUGACCUCGGGGAGCUUGCAUUUUAGGACACACAUUAAUUGUAUUGGGUUGAGGCUUCCAUUCUUUGAUGGGCUUAAACACAUGUUUACUGACUCUUCUAGUCUGUCGUUUCUUGUCUACUAAGGUCAGUAAAAAUAUGUAAUUACGUUGGCGGGCCCAGCAUUAUGUCUUAUUAAAUUAAUC
Molecule: long non-coding RNA, 1732 nt
Organism: Balaenoptera musculus (blue whale)
Lineage: Eukaryota; Metazoa; Chordata; Mammalia; Artiodactyla; Balaenopteridae
Source: Ensembl